Molecule: ribosomal RNA, 462 nt
Filed under: uncultured bacterium
Lineage: Bacteria
Description: partial 16S ribosomal RNA
Rfam family: Bacterial small subunit ribosomal RNA
Source: RNAcentral
GACGAACGCUGGCGGCGUGCUUAACACAUGCAAGUCGAGCGGUAAGGCCUUUCGGGGUACACGAGCGGCGAACGGGUGAGUAACACGUGGGUGAUCUGCCCUGCACUUCGGGAUAAGCCUGGGAAACUGGGUCUAAUACCGGAUAUGACCUCCUAUCGCAUGGUGGGUGGUGGAAAGAUUUAUCGGUGCAGGAUGGGCCCGCGGCCUAUCAGCUUGUUGGUGGGGUAAUGGCCUACCAAGGCGACGACGGGUAGCCGACCUGAGAGGGUGACCGGCCACACUGGGACUGAGACACGGCCCAGACUCCUACGGGAGGCAGCAGUGGGGAAUAUUGCACAAUGGGCGAAAGCCUGAUGCAGCGACGCCGCGUGAGGGAUGACGGCCUUCGGGUUGUAAACCUCUUUCAGCAGGGACGAAGCGCAAGUGAUGGUACCUGCAGAAGAAGCACCGGCUAACUACGUG